RNAcentral lists this long non-coding RNA (4887 nucleotides) under Homo sapiens (human). RNAcentral's name for it is "HSALNT0223516". The record is from RNAcentral. Lineage: Eukaryota; Metazoa; Chordata; Mammalia; Primates; Hominidae.
CUACAAAGGUAAAAAUAAACAACUAUAUUCCUAUGGUACCUUCUUUUAGCAUUUUUCUCUAUAUCCUUCCAGCCAUUUUUCUAUAUAGGUAUAGGGCAAGUUGGAAGUCUUGAUCUGCAGCAAAGGACCUUAUUUUAGAGGCAAAAAAUAUAUUAGUGUUAGUGAAUAGAUGUAGAAGAAAUUGAAAUCUGUGAACUCUGAGAAUUCAGGGGACGAUGUACCGAUCACUGACACCUUGGGGAGAAACAGACAAUGGGGAGAUAAACUGUGAAAUGUGCCCAUUGCUGGAACUUGAAGAGUGGAUGAGGAGUUUGAUGGAAUGGUAUGGAGGGGCCAAAUGCCACUGAAUCACUCAGGCACCCUCCUCCCCCAGUCACCUUAAUCAUGCCCUGUUUAUACAAACAAUAGCACAAUGAGAAAAAUGUAGAUACAACUGGAGGAACCCACCCAGGAAAAGUGUUUGGUAGAGUUUUGCAGAAGAUAGGAUAAGAUCUAGAGGAGAAGAAUUGGAAUUAUAAAUACAGUGGUUAAUUCUAGGCUCUACAUGUGUGGGAAUUUGGGCCAAUUUUGCUUUUAUAUUUCCCAGGGGAAAAAUGUCUGUUUCAACUAUAUUUUCAAAUUUAUUAUUAUAAAGUUUUUCAUAGUGUUAAUAUCUUCUUGAAAUUUUCAAACAUCAUACUUAUCCACGUGUCAGGAUUUUUUGGUUUUUAAUGUUAUUUGUUUCUUAUCCUUCUUGAUCCUAUUUGCCUAGGGUUUAUCUGUUUUAUGAGUCAUUUCAAAGAACAAGUUUUGGUUUUGCUGAUUAACUCAUUUCUGGGGAGGGAAAAUGUUUUUCAUUAAUUACAGUUUCUAGCUUAUAUUUUGUUCUUUCGAAUUUCGUUGGGUUUAUUUUCUUCCAUUUCCCUGUCCACUAAUGGGAUUUUGGAUUUCCUCUUCUCUGCAUUGCCUGUACAUUGCCUGGAGGCAGCAACGCAUAUGGCUAAUAAAACAUAUUGAGGAUGAAUGAGAAAACAACCUGGUUCCUGGAAGGAGAGAAACAAGGUGGAGUCUUCUCACAGAAACAAGGAGAAGGUCAGAGAGACCUCCGGGAGCAUCUCAUCUUGGAGACACCACAAGCUCAAGAGGCUGCAUUAGCGUUUUUUAUUGGAGGCAUUUUCUUUUCCUCCAGAUUUUGUUUUUGACUGUUAAGGUCAUAGCUACAAACAAUUGAUCAAGCCUAAAAGGGCAUUUAUAAACCACCUGCAUCUACAUUUUUUUCUUACUGUGGAUGGAUUUAAAAAGCCGUUUCAAGAUGAAAUCUUAUGAGUCAUUAUCAUGUCUUCUGAGGGCUGAGAUAUAACUUUGAAGUAGAGCCCAAACAUGAAGAUCAUGAAGAUGGCUUCUUCUCCAAAUGAUGUUAUCUUAAAAACUUGAAAAAGACAAAAAAAAAAAAAAAAAAAAAGAAGAAGAAAAAGAAAAAAGAAAGAAAAAAAGAGAGAGCGAGCCAAGGGAACUUGAAUCAGACAAACCUGGUUCAAAGUGAUUAUUCAACAAAUGUAAGCUGUUAUCAUCUUGUCCUCCAUCAUUCAAAUAUGUCCUGUAUAGAUCUUCCAUUAAUUUCAAAUAUCUAAUGAUCUACACCAUCAAAUAUUAUGAAGGUGAUGUUUAGCAGGUCAUUGGCUAAGACAGGCUCUACCUCAGUCUCUAAUAGAGAAGGAAAGACAAGUAGCAUUUACUAACACCCACAGUAUGCUUCAUAUUGUUGCCAGAAAUUUCAAAUGCACCAUCUAUUGAUGCAUGGAAUCCUUUCAACAUUCUUAGAAGGUGAGUGUUAUCUUAACUUUUCAUUUUAGGAAAAUGAAGCUGAGAGUGGUUAAGUAUCUUGCUUAAGGUAAUAUUCAUACCAUGGGGAGGAUCAUUAUAGUUGACCAGUUAAAUACGUGAAUUGAAGGUAAUAUCACAGAUCCCUGCUACUCAAAAUGUGGUCCACUGACCAGCAUCGCUGGCAUUACCUGGGAGCUUGUUAGAAAUGCAGCGCCUCAGGCGUCACCCUGUCCCUACGGAAGCAGAAGCUGCAUUUUUCACGUGGAUCUCCUGGCGAUUUCUGCGAACAUUUACUGCUGUUAUAGAAGAGACCCAAGCACCCAUAUCCACUACCUCUGUCAUUUUACCAGUGAGGAAAUACAUUAAAAAGCAUAAUCACUUUAUGAGCAAAUAAAUGUUAACUUUUUCAAGUAUAAAAUAUCAAAACUCAUCAUUUCAAGGCCGCAAGCCAGUUUUUUUUUUUUCAAAAUUUGGUAGAGUUUCCAAAAUAAGCAGAGCCAAUAAGAACUAGCAAGUAACAAGAUGAAAAUAUAAAGGUCAUGAGGCCAAAGAAGGAGCCUUUAUUCAGAGGUAUCAGUGGCUUUUAAAUGCAAACUAAAAUUGGGAGUUAAAAGGGCUCUUACUGACUUACCCAAAUGAGAUACAUUAAUAGUUAACACUGAUUGAACAUUUAAUAUGAUAUGUAUUACCUCAUUUAAUCCCCACAAUGACCCUGUGAAUGAGUACUGGUAUUGUUAUUAUUAUCUGUUUUAGCAGUUAGGAUAUCAACUAUCCUAUGAAAGGAUUAUCAAAGAACUAUCAAAAUCACAGAGCUGGGAAGUUACCGAAUUGGGGCUGGAAUCCCAGGCUUCCUAUCCCAGGGCUGAGCUCAUCCCCAUAGUGUUAUUCUGUCUCAUAACAUAGGAGACAUAUUUAGGGAAAGCAGCCACCCAAAAGUAAGAUAGAACACAAGGGACCUGUAAGCAACUCCUUCACUGAAAUGAGCCUGGGAGUGUGAAGAGCAGAGGAUGGAGAGCCUUGCUUCUGAAGGCCUUGGUCACACCCUCACACUGUUCAAAGUGGAAGAGAUUCAUUAACUUUUAUCAUUAUAUAAGAUACUACUUAUUUCUUUAAAUCUCACCUCAACCCCCAAAACUGAAAGUUAGCAGGAGAACACUUUUGGCCAAUAAGAAAACAGAAAAUAAAAUUAAAAUGGUAGAUUCAGUUUCCUGCAAUACCUCAGUUUCAUGCAAAGACAGUGGCUCUGUGAAACUCAUAAUAAAACUUUUAAACAUCCCAGAAAUAUCUUUAAAAACAUAAAUUUUACUGUUUAUCUUUCCUUUUAUAAAAUGGUACAUGUUCAUUAUGGAAAUUUUUAAAAAAGACAAAAUUAUGCCAAAAAAAAUGAGAAAUCCUUUAUAUUCAUGCAACCGACAGAAACCAAUUAGUAUGUUGUUAUACUGCCUUUCAAAUUUAUUUCUAUAGAGUUUUAUUUUUGCAUAUUUUGGUUUGUAGUCAUAUUACACAUAAAAUUUUGUACCCAAUUUUUCCCAUUAACUUUAUGUGUUUGGCAUUUACCUCUUAUUAUAAACCCUGCAUGACAGCUCAUUUAAAAGUGAGUUAGUAAUCGCUUGAGCAGACAUAUGGCAACUUAAGCAAUUUUUAUCCCAUUGAUGAGAUUUGUAGGUUGUUUCUAAUUUUUCCCCUUUGUAAAGAGUUCAGUGAACUUUUUGGCUCAAAUAUUUUUGAUUAUAUAUCAGCUUGUUUGGAUAGAUGUUAUUUCAAAUGAUACAAUUAUUUGAUGCAUUUGCCAAAUAUCUUUCUAAAAUAAUAAUUUGGAAGCUCAGAGCACUAUGCUCUCCCAAUAAUUCUAUAAUAAAUUUAUCAAAGCCACAAUUUUCAUCAAGAUAGCUCUGCAUGUAGAUUGACUAAUUACUGUUGUUUCCUUAUCAGUGGUUCUACAGUUCAGCUCUUUAUGAAGAUGUGACGGUUAAUGAGAAACUGAUUAAGUUUGUAUCUGUGGAUUAGAUAGCAGCAAGACUCUAGAUAUUUGGUCCUGAAUAAAAUAAGGAUGCGUUUCGUUUGCAUUUGCUGAUAUUUGUUUAGCUUGCCUUGUAUGUUAAGAUUUUCCUAAUUCAUUAGUAAGAAAGAUUUCACACAUACACACACUCUUCAUUAUAGAAAUUUGCAAUAAAAAUCCCAAGGAGUCCCUCCAUUUCAUUUAUUGCUAUUUUAUCUUAAUUUUAUUAUAGUUUCCAGAAAAAAAAAUUUAAUUUCAUAAAAUAGAGGUUAAAUGAGAAACAUUCUUUCAAAAGCCAGUUACUGGCAGCCCCCUAAUUUUUGCCACUACUUCUUUAGCCUUUGCAACUCUUUAAAAAAAUACAAGGAAUGCAAGUUUAUUGUAAAAUAACAAAAAUAUUAAUAAAUGAGUAGAAGCAAUCCAUGAUAUUAUAAUUCAGAAAUAAAUAGCUAAAAUUGUACUGUAUAAAUUCCAGGUAUUUUUAUGAGUACCUAAUUAUAUGUUUGAUUUUUAAGUAUAACCAUUCUCUAUAUAUUUUUUGACAGCUUUCUUCACUUAAGAGUAUGUAGUCAGGAAAAUAUAUCAAUGCACAUAAGUAUGUUUUGUAAUAUAAUGAGUACAUAAUACAAUAUAUAGACAUCCCACUAUUCAUUUUAUCCAUUGUCUAUUGUUGGACAGAAAUUAUGCAUUUUUUAUUUACUUGUAACUUUGCAUUAAGUGGCUUUAUUCCUAAAUUUUUGCUACAUGCUGAAUUAUUUUCUCAGACAAAAUUCCUUGAAAUAUAAAUACUGUGUCAAAGAGGAACCAUAUUUAAAAAAAUCAACAAUAAUAUUUAAAUAUCCAAUAUCUUUUAACUGUAGAAAAUUAGCAAAUAGAAAUAACCAAAUGAAAAAAUAUUGAAAACAAUAAUAAUAAUUCUACCACGUGCACAUAACCAUGUCUGGGUUAGUGCUUUUUUCCCUGUAUCUUUUCUAUUUAGCUUUACGUAAAUAUGUUUAAUAUAAUUUUUCUUAUAUAUUAAUCUCUCUAUACAUUUCAUAUAUAUAUAUAUGUAUGUAUAUCUACCCACAAAAAAGGCAUUUUUA